ACAAGUGUCACAUCCUUACCUGGCAUCCUGUUAAGAAACACCCGCAGUGCCACACCUGAUUAAAACCUACACAGGAUCUUUACAUCAAGGAACUGCACACAACAUUUCGCUUCUAAACAAAUUUCACCCAUCUCUGGAAGUUAAGACGACAAGAAGAUAUACAGGUAUGGACGGCAGACUCUUCUUUACUGUCCUGUUUGUGACGCUGUCCUGGAUAUCUGUUGGCACCUUUGCCCAAGCAUCAACAGCAGCAGCAGGCACAACAAUGGCGCCAUCCAUGACAACAGUAAACGGCAUGACAAACGCACCAGGUGCAACGACAAUGGCGCCAUCCAUGACAACAGUAAACGGCAUGACAAACGCACCAGGUGCAACGACAAUGGCGCCAGCCAUGACAACAGUAAACGGCAUGACAAACGCACCAGGUGCAACGACAAUGGCGCCAUCCAUGACAACAGUAAACGGCAUGACAAACGCACCAGGUGCAACGACAAUGGCGCCAUCCAUGACAACAGUAAACGGCAUGACAAACGCACCAGGUGCAACGACAAUGGCGCCAUCCAUGACAACAGUAAACGGCAUGACAAACGCACCAGGUGCAACGACAAUGGCGCCAUCCAUGACAACAGUAAACGGCAUGACAAACGCACCAGGUGCAACGACAAUGGCGCCAGCCAUGACAACAGUAAACGGCAUGACAAACGCACCAGGUGCAACGACAAUGGCGCCAUCCAUGACAACAGUAAACGGCAUGACAAACGCACCAGGUGCAACGACAAUGGCGCCAUCCAUGACAACAGUAAACGGCAUGACAAACGCACCAGGUGCAACGACAAUGGCGCCAUCCAUGACAACAGUAAACGGCAUGACAAACGCACCAGGUGCAACGACAAUGGCGCCAUCCAUGACAACAGUAAACGGCAUGACAAACGCACCAGGUGCAACGACAAUGGCGCCAUCCAUGACAACAGUAAACGGCAUGACAAACGCACCAGGUGCAACGACAAUGGCGCCAGCCAUGACAACAGUAAACGGCAUGACAAACGCACCAGGUGCAACGACAAUGGCGCCAUCCAUGACAACAGUAAACGGCAUGACAAACGCACCAGGUGCAACGACAAUGGCGCCAUCCAUGACAACAGUAAACGGCAUGACAAACGCACCAGGUGCAACGACAAUGGCGCCAGCCAUGACAACAGUAAACGGCAUGACAAACGCACCAGGUGCAACAGGAAACGGCAUGACAAACGCACCAGGUGCAACAGGAAACGGCAUGACAAGCGCACCAGGUGCAACAGGAAACGGCAUGACAAACGCACCAGGUGCAACAGGAAACGGCAUGACAAACGCACCAGGUGCAACGACAAUGGCGCCAUCCAUGACAACAGGAAACGGCAUGACAAACGCACCAGGUGCAACGACAAUGGCGCCAUCCAUGACAACAGUAAACGGCAUGACAAACGCACCAGGUGCAACGACAAUGGCGCCAUCCAUGACAACAGUAGCAGCCCCACUAACGCCCAACAAUAACGUGUCAAUGCUUGCGACAUCUUUCAACAGAAGUGGCUGUGGAAGUGAAAAACUCUGUGCGGCCGAGCCCUCUACGUGCGACCCCUCCGCUACAGUAUCAUGUUUCUUUCUCGGUGCGAGGAGGAAGAGUGGUCAAAACUUUGAGCUUGAGCUCUCAGGAGAGUCAUCAGGCUAUGUUGCAGCAGUCCUGUCGCCUGACACCUCACUGGGGGGAAACGACACAACCUAUGUUUGUGCAAAUAACAACGGUAAUGUAAAAUUCUUCGGCGCCAACCUCAACAAUGGCCAGCUUACAGAGACUCCGGUCAACGCAAACAAUGUGAAAGGAAGCAUCAGUGGUAAUGGUAGCGGUGGUGGUGUUGGGGGAAUUCGCAUUGGUGACUGUGGCAUUGGGAUUUCCCAGGUCAACAGGAUUGCUCCUCAAUUGGGUGCUUGCGGAUCCAACAGCACCAGAAGCUGAAAGCACAAGCAAACGAAUCACAUUGUUACCACGACAUAAAAGUCACGUUCUCUGUGACUCUGUUUGUGAUUGUUGAAAGUUCAUAUGAAAUGUGUGGACAUCUAUUUUUUGUUAGCUUACUGCUGUUAAAAGAUCCUGUGAGUAUUCCAAGUGUAAAAGUUGAUGCUCUUUGUUGUGUGGCUGCUACAGUGGCAUCAAAUGUGCACUGGAUUCUAUUUCCACUGCUAGCCAUGCCAUUACACUCCAGCAAUCACUCACGCAAGCUCUGCUGAUCACUGUGAGUGUCCUCUGUCUGGCCGUGCUCUGAGGAAAGCCAUGUCAAGACAACAACUACCCACCUAAUCAUAUAAAAAAUGCUACUGCUACAUAUAAACUCUACAUAUAAAUAAAAAAAUCUCCCUGGAAUCCCAAAUGUAUUUGCAUUAUGCUUCAUUCUGUGUCAACUCACUGCACGAGAAAGAUGAAAAAGUUGAAGGGUGGUCACUCUUAGAUAGCCUUCUGACUGCUUUCACAUCUUUGAGGGGCUCUAAAACAGGUUCUAAGAUUAUAGAUUGUUUUCGUUUUUUUGUAACUAUAGGACUGCUGGAUUUAUGUCCAAUGAGUUAUAUACUGCAGAGAAAAAUGUUUGAAAAAAACUGCGCCUUUAUUCAGGCGGCCGUUUGUUUUGAAAAGCUCUCUCUUCCUUGGAAAUAUCAAUUCUGUUAUUACAUAUUGACCUUCAGAAUAGGUAGGUGUUCCUUUAUUAAGGACCAGAGUUAUUUUUGCUUCAUCCCAUGCUCAUCGAUGUGUUCUUGUGACACAUGCUGUACAAGACAAGAAAAGUAUGACUGUUGUUCCUCUUUCACUGAUUACGGUAAAAGAACAAACAGCACUUCUGAAAUAUGUUGAUUUUGUUAUUAUGACUAAUAUAAUAUUGUUAUUUUAUUUUUGAGAUGUGAAUGUGUAUGCUUGAACAAUGGUGAUAAUGAAGCCAUCACUGGCUGAUGUUUGAUUGUGUGUGCGUGUGUGUGUGUGUGAUUGUGUGUGUAAAUAUGAAGAAAAUAUACUGCAAAUGAGUUGUCGCUCAUUUAGAAUGCUAGUAUUGGUGAAACUGACUUUGCAUUAUAUUACAGUUGAGUUUUAUUUUGUACAUAAUUUUGAAAUAAAUAUGUAAUGUCAAAAU
Molecule: RNA transcript, 3152 nt
Organism: Labrus mixtus (cuckoo wrasse)
Lineage: Eukaryota; Metazoa; Chordata; Actinopteri; Labriformes; Labridae
Gene name: mucin-5AC
Exons: 8
Source: RefSeq, a predicted model, not a curated record